UCCCUCGUGGUCUAGUUGUUAGGACUCAGCACUUUGACCACUGCAGCCUGGGUUCAAUCCCUAGUCUGGGAA
Sus scrofa (pig) is the source of this 72-nucleotide transfer RNA. It matches the Rfam family "tRNA". From Rfam's summary of the family: Transfer RNA (tRNA) molecules are approximately 80 nucleotides in length. Their secondary structure includes four short double-helical elements and three loops (D, anti-codon, and T loops). The record is from Rfam. NCBI's taxonomy places the organism in Eukaryota, Metazoa, Chordata, Mammalia, Artiodactyla, Suidae.